AACAAACGCUGGCGGCGUGCCUAAUACAUGCAAGUCGAACGAGGAAAGCUUUCGGGUGAGUACUAGUGGCGCACGGGUGAGGAACACGUGGGUAAUCUGCCUUCAAGUGGGGAACAACCAGUCGAAAGAUUGGCUAAUACCGCAUAAGACCACAAGAUCUGCGGAUCAAGGGGUUAAAGGAGCAAUUCGCUUGAAGAUGAGCCCGCGUGAGAUUAGCUAGUUGGUAGGGUAACGGCCUACCAAGGCUACGAUCUCUAGCUGGUCUGAGAGGAUGAUCAGCCACACUGGAACUGAGACACGGUCCAGACUCCUACGGGAGGCAGCAGUAGGGAAUAUUGCGCAAUGGGGGAAACCCUGACGCAGCGACGCCGCGUGAGCGAUGAAGGAUUUCGGUUCGUAAAGCUCUGUCGCAGGGGGAAUAAUUUUGAAUGUACCCUGUAAGAAAGGAUCGGCUAACUUCGUGCCAGCAGCCGCGGUAAU
This 480-nucleotide ribosomal RNA is filed under the name uncultured bacterium. Its description in RNAcentral is "bacterial SSU rRNA". It matches the Rfam family "Bacterial small subunit ribosomal RNA", at positions 29 to 524 of the family's 1533-position model. The record is from RNAcentral.